Molecule: ribosomal RNA, 440 nt
Filed under: uncultured bacterium
Lineage: Bacteria
Description: partial 16S ribosomal RNA
Rfam family: Bacterial small subunit ribosomal RNA
Source: RNAcentral
CCUACGGGAGGCAGCAGUGGGGAAUAUUGCACAAUGGGGGAAACCCUGAUGCAGCGACGCCGCGUGAGUGAAGAAGUAAUUCGUUAUGUAAAGCUCUAUCAGCAGGGAAGAAAAUGACGGUACGUGAGUAAGAAGCUCCGUCUAACUACGUGCCAGAAGCCGCGGUAAUACGUAGGGGGCAAGCGUUAUCCGGAUUUACUGGGUGUAAAGGGAGCGUAGACGGCAGUGCAAGUCUGGAGUGAAAGGCGGGGGCUCAACCCCCGGACUGCGCUGGAAACUGUACGGCUGGAGUGCAGGAGAGGUAAGUGGAAUUCGUAGUGUAGCGGUGAAAUGCGUAGAUAUUAGGAAGAACACCAGUGGCGAAGGCGGCUUACUGGACUGUAACUGACGUUGAGGCUCGAAAGCGUGGGGAGCAAACAGGAUUAGAUACCCGAGUAGUC